GACGAACCGUGCGAACGUUGUUCGGAAUCACUGGGCUUAAAGGGCGCGUAGGCGGCAGAUCAAGUCCGGGGUGAAAUCCUCCAGCUCAACUGGAGAAGUGCCUUGGAUACUGAUGUGCUCGAGGGAGGUAGGGGUACCGCGGGAACUUCGUGGUGGAGCGGUGAAAUGCGUAGAUAUCGGAAGGAACGCCGGUGGCGAAGCGACACGCUGGCCCUCUUCUGACGCUGAGGCGCGAAAGCCAGGGAGCAACGGG
This 253-nucleotide ribosomal RNA is filed under the name uncultured bacterium. RNAcentral describes it as "partial 16S ribosomal RNA". It matches the Rfam family "Bacterial small subunit ribosomal RNA", at positions 524 to 776 of the family's 1533-position model. The record is from RNAcentral.